Salarias fasciatus (jewelled blenny) is the source of this 131-nucleotide small nucleolar RNA. Its record names the gene SNORA71. It matches the Rfam family "Small nucleolar RNA SNORA71". Rfam says of the family: The members of this family belong to the H/ACA class of snoRNAs which bind a number of proteins (including dyskerin, Gar1p and Nop10p) to form snoRNP complexes. This class of snoRNAs are thought to guide the sites of modification of uridines to pseudouridines by forming direct base pairing interactions with substrate RNAs. The record is from Ensembl. Lineage: Eukaryota; Metazoa; Chordata; Actinopteri; Blenniiformes; Blenniidae.
UCCUGCAUCGAAAGGUGGCCUGGGCGUGCCGUCGUCCAGGUCAUUGGUUUUACUGCAGGUACAGGAAGCUGCCGGCUUUUCCCGUGUUUGCAGGACGUUCACUUCCUGUCAGACCCUGUUGCUCGCAGACA